RNAcentral lists this ribosomal RNA (354 nucleotides) under Sphingobacterium thalpophilum. Its description in RNAcentral is "bacterial SSU rRNA". It matches the Rfam family "Bacterial small subunit ribosomal RNA", at positions 28 to 374 of the family's 1533-position model. Lineage: Bacteria; Pseudomonadati; Bacteroidota; Sphingobacteriia; Sphingobacteriales; Sphingobacteriaceae. The record is from RNAcentral.
GAUGAACGCUAGCGGCAGGCCUAAUACAUGCAAGUCGGACGGGAUCCAUCGGUAGCUUGCUAUCCAUGGUGAGAGUGGCGCACGGGUGCGUAACGCGUGAGCAACCUGCCUCCAUCAGGGGGAUAGCCUCUCGAAAGAGAGAUUAACACCGCAUAACAUAUCAGACCGGCAUCGGUCCGAUAUUAAAUAUUUAUAGGAUGGAGAUGGGCUCGCGUGACAUUAGCUUGUUGGUGGGGUAACGGCCCACCAAGGCGACGAUGUCUAGGGGCUCUGAGAGGAGAAUCCCCCCACACUGGUACUGAGACACGGACCAGACUCCUACGGGAGGCAGCAGUAAGGAAUAUUGGUCAAUGG